CAGGCUUAACACAUGCAAGUCGAGGGGCAGCAUUUCAGUUUGCUUGCAAACUGGAGAUGGCGACCGGCGCACGGGUGAGUAACACGUAUCCAACCUGCCGAUAACUCGGGGAUAGCCUUUCGAAAGAAAGAUUAAUACCCGAUGGCAUAAUUAGACCGCAUGGUCUUAUUAUUAAAGAAUUUCGGUUAUCGAUGGGGAUGCGUUCCAUUAGGCAGUUGGUGAGGUAACGGCUCACCAAACCUUCGAUGGAUAGGGGUUCUGAGAGGAAGGUCCCCCACAUUGGAACUGAGACACGGUCCAAACUCCUACGGGAGGCAGCAGUGAGGAAUAUUGGUCAAUGGACGAGAGUCUGAACCAGCCAAGUAGCGUGAAGGAUGACUGCCCUAUGGGUUGUAAACUUCUUUUAUAUGGGAAUAAAGUUUUCCACGUGUGGAAUUUUGUAUGUACCAUAUGAAUAAGGAUCGGCUAACUCCGUGCCAGCAGCCGCGGUAAUACGGAGGAUCCGAGCGUUAUCCGGAUUUAUUGGGUUUAAAGGGAGCGUAGGUGGACAGUUAAGUCAGUUGUGAAAGUUUGCGGCUCAACCGUAAAAUUGCAGUUGAUACUGGCUGUCUUGAGUACAGUAGAGGUGGGCGGAAUUCGUGGUGUAGCGGUGAAAUGCUUAGAUAUCACGAAGAACUCCGAUUGCGAAGGCAGCUCACUGGACUGCAACUGACACUGAUGCUCGAAAGUGUGGGUAUCAAACAGGAUUAGAUACCCUGGUAGUCCACACAGUAAACGAUGAAUACUCGCUGUUUGCGAUAUACAGUAAGCGGCCAAGCGAAAGCAUUAAGUAUUCCACCUGGGGAGUACGCCGGCAACGGUGAAACUCAAAGGAAUUGACGGGGGCCCGCACAAGCGGAGGAACAUGUGGUUUAAUUCGAUGAUACGCGAGGAACCUUACCCGGGCUUAAAUUGCAUUUGAAUAAUCUGGAAACAGGUUAGCCGCAAGGCAAAUGUGAAGGUGCUGCAUGGUUGUCGUCAGCUCGUGCCGUGAGGUGUCGGCUUAAGUGCCAUAACGAGCGCAACCCUUAUCUUUAGUUACUAACAGGUCAUGCUGAGGACUCUAGAGAGACUGCCGUCGUAAGAUGUGAGGAAGGUGGGGAUGACGUCAAAUCAGCACGGCCCUUACGUCCGGGGCUACACACGUGUUACAAUGGGGGGUACAGAAGGCAGCUACCUGGUGACAGGAUGCUAAUCCCAAAAGCCUCUCUCAGUUCGGAUCGAAGUCUGCAACCCGACUUCGUGAAGCUGGAUUCGCUAGUAAUCGCGCAUCAGCCAUGGCGCGGUGAAUACGUUCCCGGGCCUUGUACACACCGCCCGUCACACCACGAGAGUUGAUUGCACCUGAAGUAGCAGGCCUAACCGCAAGGAAGGAUGCUCCGAGGGUGUGGUUAGCGAUUGG
This 1441-nucleotide ribosomal RNA is filed under the name uncultured organism. Its description in RNAcentral is "16S ribosomal RNA". It matches the Rfam family "Bacterial small subunit ribosomal RNA". The record is from RNAcentral.